AAACAUCCGCGUUAGUUUGCCGCCUGGGAAGUACGUACGCAAGUAUGAAACUUAAAGGAAUUGGCGGGGGAGCACCAGGGGGUGCGUAAUUAUUUGGGGGCGGCCUCCUUAACGGGUUUCCUGCGGUUUUGCACUGGCCCAUGCUCUUCACCUAAGGGCUCCCCCGAAUACUCCGCUCGUACUAUCACCAAAAAAACAAAACUCCUCCCCCAGAUGUAACUAUCCCCUUCCAUUGGAUACCACACCGGAUGCCCCUCUUCGUAUUCAUUAUCCUUUGAAGAGCCAAACCUCGGCACCGUCCAUCAAAACUCUCGUCUUCCCCUCCCUAUAACUCUAGAUUCUCUUUAAUUAGUUUUUGUUUUUUCCCCACACUUACGGAAGCUCUUCUGAUGCUUCUUUCCGUCCUCAUCACAUCUUUGUGUUUUUGGUUUUUGCGAGGCCGCUUAUAAU
RNAcentral lists this ribosomal RNA (450 nucleotides) under uncultured archaeon. RNAcentral's name for it is "partial 16S ribosomal RNA". The record is from RNAcentral.